Molecule: long non-coding RNA, 2760 nt
Organism: Lemur catta (Ring-tailed lemur)
Lineage: Eukaryota; Metazoa; Chordata; Mammalia; Primates; Lemuridae
Exons: 2
Source: RefSeq, a predicted model, not a curated record
UUAAAGGUGGGGAAGGGGAAGAGGGGACAGGGAGAGGUUGAUUAACACAUACAAAAGUCCAGCUAGAUAUGAGGAAUAAGUUCUAGUGUUCUAUAGCACUAUGAGAUGACUAUAAUUAAAAACAAUUUAUUGUACACAGGCAGUCCUCGUGUUAUGGACAACCUGAUUUACAGUGUUCCAUAUUUAUGAACGGGCUCCUAAGGCUCAUAAGGAUAAUUCAUAAUUAAAUAAUUAAAUCCAUAACUCAGGAACUAGUGUCUUCCAUGCAUGUAAACAAACCUGCAUGGUAGAAGCCGUUCACUGGUGCUGAAUCUUUACGCUACAGCUAGUCUCAUAGAGAGACAGAGAUGCGGCUGAUAGAAACAGAAGAACGUGAAGAGUCAGAAGAUCCAGAGACAAGAAAGUUAUGACAAAAGAAUUCUCUGAGACCUUUCAUCACACUGAAUGCAGGAUUUGCCAAGUUUGAGGAGCAAGAUCCUAAUAAGGAGCAGUUCACAAAAGUUUACCAUGCAGUUAACAAGAACAUCAGCUGCUACAAAGCCAUUUAUGACAAAAAAAGAAAAAGACUGUGCAAACAACCCUAGAUACCUCUUUCAAGAAACCAGCUUCAGUGGUCAGCUCCUCUCCUCCAGCAAAAGAAUUAAAUCCUGAUUCUCGAACACCCACUCCAUCCCCUCCAGCACCAUGUCCAUCAUCAUCUUCCGAUCAAUGUCAGCCUGCCUUCUUGCCUCAAAAUUCCCCCUUCCAGUAAGCAAGACAUUGAUGUAACAUUAGGAUCCCUGUGACAGGAGGGGAGGGCUAGCUUCCAGCUGCAAGCCCUCUCAUUCAAGGCUCGUGCUGCCGCCAGCAGUGUCUUUGGAGUCUAGUUCAAAGCUGAAGAGAGCCAACCACGGAGCUGGGAGCCGUUGGUGGAGGGGCUGGCCUGAAGGGAGUGAAGUGUUUCAGCCAGAACGUACUGAUGCACGACCAGGAAACCACAAGACUGGUGAGAACCUUUCCAAGCCUGAGCCUUCUGAUCAAAAGAGGUACAGGAAGCAGCUCUGCCAAGAGUCCUUUCUGCUGCAGGCUGGAGCUCUGAGCUUCUGAGCCUCUCUGAGUCAACUCCCUGAGCAGAUGCUAUCACUCAAGGAGCCAUCACUAAAGAGCAUUUUCUUGGUUUGCUCUGAGGUGGCCCCACCAGAGGGUGGGAGUGAGUUACUAUCUUUUUUUCUCUUUCUUGAUUUCUUUCUUUUGGCAGAGGUUGCCAUCUGAUUGCUCACCAUGAUUUUUCAGAAGUCCUAGAUGACUGGAUUACCCUAUGCCAACUGUCUAUCAUUUGGUUCUCAGGGCAUACUGUACACAAACCCCAAAUCCUAAAACUCUUACCAAUAUCUAGGUCAUGAUUAGCAAAUCUAUCAGUAAUAGCCUCGACUUCAGCAGGAAAGAGAACUGGCAGUUUUUUCGUUCUUGCAUCCCAAUCAUUAUCCCUUUUCCCAGGCUACACUUCUUUUUGUUCCCUCUAAGAAUAGACUCAACUAGGAAUUACCUUCAGAUCUCUGUCACAGAUAUAGAGCAUGUCUACAUACAAGGUCAAAAUAAUUUUGUUUCUGUGGAUUCUCUCUUUUUUUUUGACCCGAGUAACUGCCAGUUGCCACGCGUUAAAUAACAUCAUCAUAUGGCAGAUCCUGUUAACAGCUGAGACCCACAGGCUAACUGAACCAUGUCCUGAGAGCUAAAUGAUGGAGAAAUUGGGCUAACCAUGGAGCACUUCAAAUUGAUUGCUUAGUAAUGGGAUAUUUUUCCUGGAAAGACAACAGCAUAAUUCUGAACUGUUGAUUCUGUCAUGGGUACAGGCUUCUAUGUACAGGAAAACAAAGAAAGUGUGAUGAAUUUUUCAUUUGCCCUUCUGCCUUCUUUCUUGCUUUCUGCUCUACAUUGCAUGUCUCCAUGUUUAUUCCGUAAAUUCUGAUUUGACAACCCAUCAAUACCGACCGUGUGGCGUACAAUCUAUAGUUGAAAUCUACUUCUUACCAAAAUCUCAGCAAGCAUGAGGUGGCCAACAGCUUCUUUGAGAUGAUGUCCCAAGUCUUAACUUGGGUUUCAAUCAUUUCAGGAAACAUGAAAAAUUCAAUGGUGAGAGGACAUACACCUUCUGCAAAGAUGUCAGAAAUCAAGUUUCAGGAGACUCUACACACAAACUGAGCAUUAUUAAUCAAGUGAAUUCUGAAUUAUUUCUCCCCUGGGAAUGUUAUAUGAAGUAGAGAUUUUGCAAACACAUUGUGCUGCAGUGCAAUUUGGGACAUACCUUUUUUGGGGAAGUGCUAACUUUGUACUCUCCUGACACCAAACAUUCGCAAAUAAAACCUUUUUUAUUUCUCUCCUUCUCUCCUCCACUUUUGGCUUAGUUUAUCCUACCAAAACACACUUCAAAAGAUUUCUUUAUAGAAAGAAUGUUUCAAAAAUAUAAUAUUUCCAUCUGUUAUUUCAAUAACACAUGCUCUGGGACUCUCUUUAUGAACCAUUUUCCUUUCUUUGCUCCCAUUUAGAUGUAUAAAUAUUUGAUUCUAAAGCUCUGAGGAACAGUCAGCCAAUUGGGUCACUGAAUUGUGAACAUUCUUAACCCUAUAAUUUUGUCUGUAGCAGGCACCUCAUGCUGUGGAACUAGCUGCUAAGGGAUUAUAGCAAUGUAAUCCUCAGACUGUUCCAUCUCAGGGUUACUCUGAAGUGGAAGGAAGGAAGCAGUUUUAAUUUUGAUAAAAUAAACUUUAUUUUGAAACUUUA